Molecule: long non-coding RNA, 392 nt
Organism: Plectropomus leopardus (leopard coralgrouper)
Lineage: Eukaryota; Metazoa; Chordata; Actinopteri; Perciformes; Serranidae
Source: RefSeq, a predicted model, not a curated record
GCAGUGCAGAGCUGGUGUCCCUGUUGUGUUGUGAUGCAUCUGGACGGUACGCUGCUCUGGUGGCCGUCGGUUUCACACACUUGACGUUUGUGUCUGUGGAAUGUAGUCAGCUGCUGACACUGUGAAAAAUCCAAGUCUGAAUCAAGAGCUGUUGUUUCCUGCUUGCUAGACUGUGUGUCCCUCCGAGCCCCGUCGGACGCUUCUGCCUUCACGCGCUGCGCAGCAACCGCACGUCGACCAGGCUGAAUAAUCGAGGGCGGAGCUACAAGAUGCUGCAAUCCACCCAGACAACACAAAUCAACCGCCUGAGAGUGCGACAACAGAGCUGCUGCAGACGUGUUGAGUGCUUCAUACCAUCCAAAAGACACCACAGACGAGCCUGAGCAGAGUGU